AAGAAGCUAUGACCUGUAGAGCUGAGAGAACGUGAACAAGAAACUCCCUUGCCAUGGAAGUGAUCGUCUCUAGUUAGUCUCCUAAAAUCCAAAUAAAUCUAUAAUUCGUGUUGGCUUUUACAUUUUAUAACAAGGAUGGUAUUUAAUAUUUAGGAAUGGAGUCUCCUUGAAGAGGUCCUUUACAUCCCUUGUAAGUUGUAUUUUCCUAGGUAUUUUAUUUUCUUUGUAGCAAUUGUGAAUGGUUUGGCUCUCUGCUUGUCUAUUAUUGUCUCAUGAUUUGGCUCUCUGCUUGUCUAUUAUUGGUGUAUAGGAAUGCUUGUAACUUUUGCACAUUGAUUUUUGUAUCCUGGGACUUUGCUGAAGUUGUUUAUUAGCUUAAGACCUUGGAGAAUCUGACAAUUAUGUGUCUUGGGGUUGCUCUUCUCGAGGAGUAUCUUAGUUGUGUUCUCUGUAUUUCCUGAGUUUGAAUGUUGGCCUGUUUUGCUAAAUUGGGGAAUUUCUCCUUGAUAAUAUCCUGAAGUGUGUUUUCCAACUUGAUUCCAUUCUCCCCGUCACUUUCAUGGACCCCAAUCAAUCAUAGGUUUGGUCUUUU
This 592-nucleotide long non-coding RNA is filed under the name Homo sapiens (human). Its description in RNAcentral is "non-protein coding lnc-CCDC93-6:1". Lineage: Eukaryota; Metazoa; Chordata; Mammalia; Primates; Hominidae. The record is from RNAcentral.